UACGAAGGGGGCUAGCGUUGUUCGGAAUUACUGGGCGUAAAGGGCGCGUAGGCGGUUAAAUAAGUUAGGUGUGAAAUCCCUGGGCUCAACCCAGGAACUGCACUUAAAACUGUUUAGCUAGAAUACAAGAGAGGACAGUGGAAUUCCUAGUGUAGAGGUGAAAUUCGUAGAUAUUAGGAAGAACAUCAGAGGCGAAGGCGACUGUCUGGCUUGAUAUUGACGCUGAGGCGCGAAAGCGUGGGUAGCAAAC
This 250-nucleotide ribosomal RNA is filed under the name uncultured bacterium. Its description in RNAcentral is "partial 16S ribosomal RNA". It matches the Rfam family "Bacterial small subunit ribosomal RNA", at positions 524 to 773 of the family's 1533-position model. The record is from RNAcentral.